UACGUAGGUGGCAAGCGUUAUCCGGAUUUAUUGGGUGUAAAGGGCGUGUAGGCGGGAGCGCAAGUCAGAUGUGAAAACUCAGGGCUCAACCCUGAGCCUGCAUUUGAAACUGUGUUUCUUGAGUGCUGGAGAGGCAAUCGGAAUUCCGUGUGUAGCGGUGAAAUGCGUAGAUAUACGGAGGAACACCAGUGGCGAAGGCGGAUUGCUGGACAGUAACUGACGCUGAGGCGCGAAAGCGCGGGGAGCAAACAGG
This 253-nucleotide ribosomal RNA is filed under the name uncultured bacterium. Its description in RNAcentral is "partial 16S ribosomal RNA". It matches the Rfam family "Bacterial small subunit ribosomal RNA", at positions 524 to 776 of the family's 1533-position model. The record is from RNAcentral.